This is a long non-coding RNA of Bacillus rossius redtenbacheri, 1038 nucleotides long. RefSeq lists it as uncharacterized. The transcript is spliced from 3 exons. The record is from RefSeq and is a predicted model, not a curated record. Lineage: Eukaryota; Metazoa; Arthropoda; Insecta; Phasmatodea; Bacillidae.
UUCGCACGCGCACAGCCCGCCGCGCGCCGACGACCGCUCGCUCUCAUCCCUCCCGCCCGCAGGAGGGCAGCACGGGUCUCGUCUCUCGACCGCGCGCGACGCCGGGAGGCCGGGUCGACACUUGGGGUUUCCGCGCGCGCCGCCAUGUCCGACCCACACAAGGGCCGCCGCACCUGCAUCUCGGUGACGCGAACAAGGCUCGCCCUCCCGCCCGCCCGCGUCUGAGGAACCUUCUUAAGAUCUGCAACCACCAAACACAUACAUGUCGUUUCAAAAUCCUAUUCGCACAUUUGUGAGAUAGUACGUUUUCCCCCCUAAAGUUACAGUUCUCGAAAUACUUCGUGAAAAUGCGCAUACCAAUCAAUCACCCGUGUCCGGCAAAUAUUAAGGCGAAUUAAAAAAAAAAAAAUCUAUACCGCUAACUAUACUCAAAUCUGUAUUGAAAUCACAGGGCAAGAAAAAAAAACAAUAUAUACGGCACGUAGAGAAGGUCGGGCGUGGGUGCGGCGACCACUUGCCGACGCGCGACUCGAUUUAAACUGGUCCAGCCCAGCAUCACGUGCGUGCGACGAGAGGUGUGAUCUCUGAUCCCCCUCCCUCCCCCAUUUACCCGCCGCCGUCCACGCCUCCGCGGCCGGAGCCGUGGUCAAGGACUCGAGCGAACCGGGACUCAAGGAAGUUACGAAGGAAAAAAAAAAUUAGUGAGGUGAGAAAAAAGAGGGAAGAAGGGGAAGAACCCGAAGCAGCGUGGUGUGGUGACAAGAAAAAAAAAAAAAAAAAGUGAACGUGCAUUGCAGGAGAAUAAAGGAGGAACGAGAAGGAAAAACUAGAGAAGCGAAAGGAGGGCAACAAACAUGACUCGUGAAAUCAGCUGGGCGUUGAGGUUCUGCGCAGCGCUGUGGGUGGCCGCCCUCGCCUGGGGCUCUCCGAACCAGCAGGUGAACACCAAGUAUCCUCUCGAGGUGUACCAGAUGUACCGGCAGAGGCUGCUGGCGGGCGGCAAGCUGGCGGCCGCCGUGGGCUCGUGGUCUCACUGGG